Molecule: non-coding RNA, 818 nt
Organism: Meleagris gallopavo (turkey)
Lineage: Eukaryota; Metazoa; Chordata; Aves; Galliformes; Phasianidae
Source: RefSeq, a predicted model, not a curated record
AGCUGUCCUGGUUCUGUCCCUUCCCAGCUCCUUGUGCUCCCUUGCCUCCGUGCUGGCAGGGCAGUAGGAGAAACAUUCUUGCCUGUGUGUGGAGAAAAGCUGUAUUUUUUUGCAUCAAAGAUCCCUUUCUGGCAAUUUUGUGUUUCACAGAGAACAUUGCACACAGGUGUCACAAGUGUAUCUGCCAAGGUUGCUUGCUCUGACUCCAACUUCUGUUUGCACGCAUGGACUGACUAAACCCCUGGGGGUGUAAUGUGACUCACUGAAGAAACCCUACAAUCAUAGAAGACUCUGGAGAUGGGCGAGGGCGAUGUGCCCAUGAAGCUCAGAGAAUAAUGCAGGGCGUGAAUGGCCACAGCUGCUGCUAAGAAGCUGACUAUGUCGAAACAAAGGGACCGGAGGGUGGCCUUUGUUUUAGAUUAUCAGCUAUCAACUGCUGAGUAGAUCAGAUGGUGAUGUUUCUCCCCGAGUUUAUUGAGUGCGAAUGUCUCUGAAUUAACCAGAUUUGCAUGGGGAGAGUGAAUACAUGGCUUAUCCCUACACAGAACACAUUAAACAACAAAGAAUUUCGAAGAGAGCAAUAAGCCUCAGCUGGCGUCAACCCACAUAGUUGUUCGGAAGUAAUGAGAACGCAGAGUAAAUAUUACAGCUGUUAUUUUGCACUUGUGUAGGGGUCUCAGUAAGUUAGAGCAUCACUUCUUUACAUCAAAAAUCCUUUGUCACAUCAGAUAUCUACCAAUACAUAAUAUUGAUAAUAAAUAUUACACUUUCCUGUAUGAAAUAUCUAAAUUAAGAUGGUCAGAGUGUACUGGACUACA